RNAcentral lists this ribosomal RNA (441 nucleotides) under uncultured bacterium. RNAcentral's name for it is "partial 16S ribosomal RNA". It matches the Rfam family "Bacterial small subunit ribosomal RNA", at positions 339 to 795 of the family's 1533-position model. The record is from RNAcentral.
CUACUGGCGGCUGCAGUCAAGAAUCUUCCUCAAUGCGCGCAAGCGUGAAGGAGCGACGCCGCGUGAUCGAAGAAGCCCUUCGGGGUGUAAAGAUCUUUUAUUUGAGACGAACUAAUGACGGUACCAAAUGAAUAAGGGGCUGCUAAACUCGUGCCAGCAGCAGCGGUAAUACGAGUGCCCCAAGCGUUACCCGGAUUUAUUGGGCGUAAAGCGUGUCUAGGUGGUUUAUUUAGUCAGUGGUUAAAUCCUCCGGCUCAACUGGAGAUCUGCCACUGAUACUGAUAAACUAGAGGCUGGAAGAGGCAAGCGGAAUUGCCGGUGUAGGGGUCAAAUCCGUUAAUAUCGGCAGGAACACCAAAUGCGAAGGCAGCUUGCUAGGACAGUUCUGACACUAAAGCACGAAAGCGUGGGUAGCGAAUGGGAUUAGAUACCCUUGUAGUC